Non-coding RNA from Podarcis lilfordi (Lilford's wall lizard), 107 nucleotides. The record is from the annotation of a GenBank genome assembly. NCBI's taxonomy places the organism in Eukaryota, Metazoa, Chordata, Lepidosauria, Squamata, Lacertidae.
UCUCCCAAGCUGGUGUGUGCACUCCUCCUUAUGUUUGUAUGCACUUUCUCUCAGUUUGAGAAAGUGCAUACAAGCAUAUGGAGGAGUGUGCACACCAGCUUGGGAGA